Molecule: ribosomal RNA, 783 nt
Filed under: unidentified microorganism
Description: bacterial SSU rRNA
Rfam family: Bacterial small subunit ribosomal RNA
Source: RNAcentral
ACACAUGCAAGUCGAGCGGUAAGGCCUUUCGGGGUACACGAGCGGCGAACGGGUGAGUAACACGUGGGUGAUCUGCCCUGCACUCUGGGAUAAGCUUGGGAAACUGGGUCUAAUACCGGAUAUGACCACAGNAUGCAUGUGUUGUGGUGGAAAGAUUUAUCGGUGCAGGAUGGGCCCGCGGCCUAUCAGCUUGUUGGUGGGGUAAUGGCCUACCAAGGCGACGACGGGUAGCCGACCUGAGAGGGUGACCGGCCACACUGGGACUGAGACACGGCCCAGACUCCUACGGGAGGCAGCAGUGGGGAAUAUUGCACAAUGGGCGGAAGCCUGAUGCAGCGACGCCGCGUGAGGGAUGAAGGCCUUCGGGUUGUAAACCUCUUUCAGCAGGGACGAAGCGUGAGUGACGGUACCUGCAGAAGAAGCACCGGCUAACUACGUGCCAGCAGCCGCGGUAAUACGUAGGGUGCGAGCGUUGUCCGGAAUUACUGGGCGUAAAGAGUUCGUAGGCGGUUUGUCGCGUCGUUUGUGAAAACCCGGGGCUCAACUUCGGGCUUGCAGGCGAUACGGGCAGACUUGAGUGUUUCAGGGGAGACUGGAAUUCCUGGUGUAGCGGUGAAAUGCGCAGAUAUCAGGAGGAACACCGGUGGCGAAGGCGGGUCUCUGGGAAACAACUGACGCUGAGGAACGAAAGCGUGGGUAGCAAACAGGAUUAGAUACCCUGGUAGUCCACGCCGUAAACGGUGGGCGCUAGGUGUGGGUUCCUUCCACGGGAUCUGUGCCGUA